Engraulis encrasicolus (European anchovy) is the source of this 702-nucleotide long non-coding RNA. RefSeq lists it as uncharacterized. Lineage: Eukaryota; Metazoa; Chordata; Actinopteri; Clupeiformes; Engraulidae. The transcript has 5 exons. The record is from RefSeq and is a predicted model, not a curated record.
UGUAAAAUUGACACAAGUGUUGCAUGCAGUUUUAACUCAAUGUUGUCAGUUUAGUGAAAUGAAAGUGAAAAUAUCGUGUUAGAUUUACUAGGCAGAUAGGCCUAGCCUAUUUAUAGAUUGUGUUAUGUUGAAAGAACCCAACGCAGUCAGGCAAUUUCUUCAAACUACCCAGAAUGCAACGCUCCAGCUUUUCAAAUUGCAGGAAGGCGCGAGGAGUAAACAGACUAGUUCGCCUGCAAGAAAUGUACCACGUGAUGCAGUAGCCUGUUGAUGCUGGCAAAAGAUGCAAUCUGGAGGAUUUCAGGAGAUGGCUCUUGCUCACUGGCAGUGACUUGGGUCAUGUGAGACAGCAUCAGAGCUCGGGUGACAUCUCUCGCUCGGGUGAAAUCUCUCCUGGAAGAUUUCAAGGUGUGUGCAGAGUUCUGAAGAAUAAAAGUCAACAGUCAAGUUCUUCUCCAUAUUCUCCAAAUCUGACGGAGGCGUUCCAUCAGGAAAGGGGGAAUGGUUGGUCGAUGCCUCCAGAAUAAUGAUACCCAUGACCCAGGCACAACAUGCUGACAGGGAAUCGGCUAUGGCAGAAAGCAUCCAUGCCAUCUACGUGAUCCGCCAUGAAGGUUCAGAAGCUACUGACAGUCCUGAGGACAUCGGAAUCAUUUUCAAAGGGGUGACUGCAUUUGGCUGCUUGCCAAACAUCCUACCCAG